Molecule: ribosomal RNA, 192 nt
Filed under: uncultured bacterium
Lineage: Bacteria
Description: partial 16S ribosomal RNA
Rfam family: Bacterial small subunit ribosomal RNA
Source: RNAcentral
ACUCCUACGGGAGGCAGCAGUAAGGAAUAUUGGUCAAUGGACGCAAGUCUGAACCAGCCAUGCCGCGUGGAGGAUGAAGGUCCUCUGGAUUGUAAACUUCUUUUAUAUGGGGCGAAAAAGGGUCUUUCUAGAUCAACUGACGGUACCAUAUGAAUAAGCACCGGCUAACUCCGUGCCAGCAGCCGCGGUAAU